CAACCCUCAAGCGAGUCUUUUCUUGCUUGGUGUUGGGGCAUUACCCCUGGGGUAAGCCCUGAAAUCUAGUGGCGAGCUCGCCAGGACUCCGAGCGCAGUAGUGUAAACCUCGCUUUGGACCGUACUGGCGCGGCCUAGCCGUAAAACCCCCCAACUUCUGAAA
Molecule: unclassified non-coding RNA, 163 nt
Filed under: uncultured Valsaceae
Lineage: Eukaryota; Fungi; Ascomycota; Sordariomycetes; Diaporthales; Cytosporaceae
Description: sequence contains ITS2
Source: RNAcentral